This is a non-coding RNA of Zonotrichia albicollis (white-throated sparrow), 347 nucleotides long. The record is from RefSeq and is a predicted model, not a curated record. Lineage: Eukaryota; Metazoa; Chordata; Aves; Passeriformes; Passerellidae.
GUGCUAACCUGUCCUUCCCUCUUUGCAGGUUAGGAGGGAGCACAGGCUGGACAGCAGCUCAGGAUUUUUGCAGGAUCCCUGCAGUCCCUGACGGGUUUCCCGGUGCCACAGGCUCGGAGGAUGCUCCUGCGACCGAGGGACGUCUCCCCCCUCAGAAGAGGCCGUUCCAGCCCAUCCAUCACCAUCGUGCAACUGUGACCGAUCUCCACCACCUGGAGCCAGCACCGGGAGCUGUCCCGAGGCCUCUCCUGCCCCUCAGGCCAUUGCAUGCACCCUCGGUGUGUUCCCGCCCGGCUCAGCCGCUCAGGCAGGCUUAAAAAACAAAAAUAACACCUGAAAGGACACUG